This 253-nucleotide ribosomal RNA is filed under the name uncultured bacterium. RNAcentral describes it as "partial 16S ribosomal RNA". It matches the Rfam family "Bacterial small subunit ribosomal RNA", at positions 524 to 776 of the family's 1533-position model. The record is from RNAcentral.
UACGUAGGGGGCAAGCGUUGUUCGGAAUUACUGGGCGUAAAGCGCGUGCAGGCGGCCUUUCAAGUCGGACGUGAAAUCCCACGGCUCAACCGUGGAAGUGCAUUCGAAACUGCGAGGCUGGAGUCCUGGAGAGGAAAGUGGAAUACUCGGUGUAGAGGAGAAAUUCGUAGAUAUCGAGUGGAACACCGGUGGCGAAGGCGGCUUUCUGGACAGGUACUGACGCUGAGACGCGAAAGCGUGGGGAGCAAACAGG